GCCAAUUGGAUAUUGUAGUGGUGCAAAUUUCCUAGCGGAAAUUUGAGUCUUUUUUCGGUCACUCCUGCCCUUGUUACAUUUUGGCCUGAUUAAAAUGUUGUGGCUAAUUCUGGCUAAAUCCACAUUGACAUCUGCCUAACACCGAUUGAUCAAUCUCCUGGAGAAGCUAAAGAGAACUGGGCCGGGUGCAGUGGCACAUGCCUGUAAUCCCAGCAUGUUGGGAGGCCAAGGUCGGCGGAUCACUUCAGCCCAGGAGUUUGAGACCAGUGUGAGCAACAUGGCGAGAUCCUGUCUCUACAAAAAAUACAAAACUUAGCCCAGCAUGGUGGUGUGCACCUGUAGCCUAUAGUCCCAGCUACAUGGGAGGCUGAGGUGGGAGGAUCUCUUGAACCCAGGAGGUCGAGACUGCAGUGAACCGUGAUUGCACCAUUGCACUUUGGCAUGGGCAACAGAGCAAGACCACAUCAAAAAAAAAAAAGAAAGAAAGAAAAGAAAAAAAGAAUCGAAGUCUUUCUGGGUCAAGCUGAUUAGCAGGUUUACAGUGGCCUUGUCUCAAAAGUUCCCACUUGUGAUUAGGAACUACAAAGCUGUGAUUAUUAUUAAUCUUCUGCACCUAUUGCUUUUGAGCAUGGCUAUCUGAAGUAUAGCCACAUCAAUUAAUAAUGGCCGAUGAGCUUUUAAUUACAGACCUCGGUAAUUGGCUGGUUAAAGGAAGAUUGGCAUCAGUAACUGAGUUCUUUUUGUUCAAUCCAUUUUGGGACUGCAACUAUAUUAGGCAUACAUCCAUGCCCCCAUGAAACUGUAAGGGACUGGAAGGAGGCAGUGUGUCCCGUGAAUCCUCAUGAACCAUCCCAGUCUUUCUUACUCCCCUGCACGUCCUCUUCAUUUACACAGAGAUAUCAACCAGGAUAUGGCAUUGCAUUGGAUCCCAACCAGGAUAUGACGUUACAUUGGAUCCCAACCAGGAUAUGGCAUUGCACUGGAUCCCAACCAGGAUAUGGCAUUGCACUGGAUCCCAACCAGGAUAUGGCAUUGCGUUGGAUCCCAACCAGGUUAUGGCAUUACAUUGGAUCCCAACCAGGUUAUGGCAUUGCAUUGGAUCCCAACCAGGAUAUGACAUUGCAUUUACUCAUCACGCCUCCUUAGGUUCCUCUUGGCUGUGACGGUUUCUCAGACUAUCCUUGUUUUUUAGGACCUUGACAGUUUUGAGGCAUACUGGUGAGUGUUUUGUAAAACAUACUUCUAUUGGGAGUUGUCUGAUGUUUUUCUUACGAUUAGACUGGGG
RNAcentral lists this long non-coding RNA (1285 nucleotides) under Homo sapiens (human). Its description in RNAcentral is "HSALNT0324091". The record is from RNAcentral. Lineage: Eukaryota; Metazoa; Chordata; Mammalia; Primates; Hominidae.